UCUGUUUCUUACCCUCCAAAAAUUAACCCAAUACAAACUCCUUACUUUUCGUUUCUUCAAUAUCAAUAUGGCCUCCAUUCCCAGGCCUCACGGAGCCGCUCAACUCGGAUCCGGCGGCAAAUUAGUCCGACCCAGGCGGACCACUGCUCCCAGGACUCCCUACGAGCGUCCUCUUCGAUUGCUUCCCAAUUCGGCUUCCCAAAACCCUAAUUGGCUCUCCAGUCUCAUUUUAUCUCCUACUCGUAUGAUUGCUACCGGUGCCGGCAAAGUUCUUUCCUCUGUCUUCGGCCCCGUCUCCUCCUCUUCCUCCUCUUCGUCUUCCGGUGGCGAUUUCACUUCAGAGGAUGAUGCAGAUGAUGCCAAUGAUGAUAAUGUUAUCACUUCUCAGGACGCUACCAAAUUGGAAAAGACAUUUGAAAAGAAAAAUUCCUUGAGGAAAGAUACCCAAGCUAUAGAGUGGAAGAGUGAAACAAAGCGUGCAAUUGAACAACUUCUCAUGCAGGAAACAUUCUCAAGGGAAGAAUGUGAUAGAUUAACGCAUAUUAUUAAAUCAAGAGUUGUAGAUUCUUCCAUCACUGGAGACCUAGAUGGGAGACUAAAUGAGAUACCUGGCAGGACAGUUUGCAGCGAUGUUGAUAUGCGUGAUAUCCGCAGUACAGCCAUUACAGAGGCUAAAAAAUGGCUAGAGGAGAAGAAAUUGGGGUCAAAUUCAAAGUCAGAAUUGGUGUAUGGAACCUGCACUUUG
RNAcentral lists this unclassified non-coding RNA (745 nucleotides) under Hevea brasiliensis (rubber tree). The record is from RNAcentral. Lineage: Eukaryota; Viridiplantae; Streptophyta; Magnoliopsida; Malpighiales; Euphorbiaceae.